Molecule: long non-coding RNA, 3846 nt
Organism: Microtus oregoni (creeping vole)
Lineage: Eukaryota; Metazoa; Chordata; Mammalia; Rodentia; Cricetidae
Exons: 3
Source: RefSeq, a predicted model, not a curated record
AAGCGUCUAGUCAACCAGGAGCUGUCUUCAAACCGGAAGUUAAGCUGUUUGCCUUGGUGAUCGGAUUUCCUGGACCAGGGCAGAAUAUAACCAGUCAGGAAGAGCUAUAUUGAAACAGUAGGAGGAGUCGAGGAGAUGCCAUGUAGCUGCCAAAGAAGGACUCCAGCCAGAACCUUAGUGUGGCAUGCAGAAGGCGGACAAGCUGCAGAGAGUCUGGAAUUGCUUGUGUUUUGACAAAACUUCCAGCAACAGAAUCCACCUUCCUCUCUACUUGACCAAGCAGCAGCGAUGGUGACAGCAAACAGGACACCUCUUCAUCCCUGCUCGUCCUUCAGAGAGGAUGCACAGUGAAGUCACCCACAAAGAGCACAGCUUCCCCAGCCCUGCAUUAGCUCUGCCCAGCAGAGGUUCCUGUUUCUGCAUUCCCAAAGGCCUCUGUUCUCACCUUUACCUGAGAUUACACUACAGAGGAACUUAAAGGCUCAGGUUCUACUGCAAAGAAGUGGGCAUUUCUGUGUAAAGGGCCAGGCAUUGGUCAUUAUGGAACACUGCGAGGUAAUUGCUACAUAGGUCGGGGUUAAAAUCCAUGGAACCAAAGGCUUAUCACUCGUGCUGGGGGACAAGAGGACACCACAAUCACAUUUUUUCCUGGGUCCUUUCUCCUCCUGAGGCUUAUGGGUUCUAAAGGGCAGAAGCAGCAGAUGGCCCUUUGCCCCUUCAGUAUCACUAAGCACUUCUCAUAUCACAGUCCAGAGAAAAGCAUUUUGUACUCCAAGAUAAUAAUGGCAGUAUCAAUCUACUGGUAGUAUGUUUAAAAUGAUAAAACCUAAUCAUUUCUCAUAGAGCUGGACCUUGCCAAGGGUGGUUCUGGGUGUUUUCUGUAGCUGAGUUUGCUGUUGUGAGGAUGCACAAUCUUCAGGACCAUGAUGGCUAUGGGUGUCACUCACCCUGCUUCAAAAGCAGUUCUGCACACUUGGAAACAUUCAGUUUUGUUUUGGUUUUCCAUCAAAUAUUUUUAUUUUUCAGGUAAGCCUUCUUAGACUCUUGUGGCAGGUAAACUGUCCUUUCUGGAAUGCUCUAUCCCUGAGUCACUUCAACAAAGGGUCAUGGCUGAAAAGAUGUCUCAGUGGGUGAUGUGUUUUCUGGGCAAGCCUGGCUACCUGACUUCAAUCCCUGGAACCCAUGUAAAAGUGGAUGGAAAGAACUAACUCUACAAAGUUCACACACGCGCACAUACACCCACACCCACAUACACACAAAUAAUUUUAAAGCAAGGCUAAAAGGCCCACUGGUCCUCUGGACUCAGAAGACAACAUGCUCCUCCCAGAAGUUGCAUUUUCUGUAAGUGAUAAGGGACAGGACUGAAAACUGAAGCCCUCGCGUUCCCUUGGUGUUAGAGGCUGUAAUCUAAGCUCCAACUCAACUGUCACAGUGUUCCCUCAGCUCUACCAGACAAACCUGACACUGGUGUCAGCAUCCCUUCCCAGGGCUUUCUUUGUUGGGUUUAGGUACACUAAUUCACACGCAUUGUGCUAAAAAGUGGAAAAACUGUAAAUGAAGAUUGACCCCAGAGACAUAAAUGCUGGAAAUUCUCAGCUCAAACAGCAAACAAUAAUAAAGAGUGCAGCUACCUUGUUUUUCUGGAGCUCCAUCUGGCUGCACUAGCUGCUUGACUGUAUAAAUGUGGUCUUAGCUCUGCUCGGGUUGAGGAUUGCCCGCCUUACCCCCAGCAGUGCCCACUGGGCACAGCACAUGUUUGGUCUGUGUCUGUUAAGUGACUGAACUGUGUGAACUUGGAAGCUUUUUGGUCCACAGGUGAGGGCUGUAAUUGUAUCUAUUAUAAAGGGGCACCCAUUUAUAGCUCUUUCAAGUGUAAAUGUUACUCUAUUGUGUUAGCUGUUAUUAUUUUGUGUAAAAGUACAGCUUUUUGUAUAAAAGUAUCAUUUUGUAUAAAAGUACAGGAGAGAUCACUCAGCAUCUAUGUAGAAUGGUUCACAACUGCCUAUCACUCCCAUUCAGGGGGACUCAGUGCCCUCUCCUGACCUCCGAGGGUACCUACACACACACACACACACACACACACACACACACACGGACUACAGGUACACGCUAAGUAAAUAAAUGUUAAAAAUAGAUUCUAGUAACUUUGACUAAUAGACUUUUUCAAGAAGAAUUUUACAAUUAGCUGAGUUUUUUUUUUCCAUUUGAAAAGAAGAACCUUGUUCAUUCAGGUACCCACUGACAAUAGUUGCUGAGCCCAGUCUACCCUGGAAUAGACUGAACGUGAAAUUUCCCACUGCACAGUAAGUGCUUCUGCUGUCAGAGUAGUGUGUGUGGGAGUGUGAGAAAGCCAGCUCUCUAGAAGGAGCGGUGGAGCAGACCUAAAGCCAACCCUCUCACUUCCUUCAUAGCGUGGCCAGAAACCCCAGAGGGUAGUCUCAGUGGAACAGUGGCGUUAAGCUGGGGAAUGGUGGUGCACAACAGGCAGACCUCUGUGAGAUCGAGGCCAACCUGGUCUACAGAGCUAGUUCCAGGACAGCCAAGACUACCCAGAGAAGCUUCGUCUUGAAAGACCAAAAUAAACAAAUAGACGAAUCUCUGUUCAACAUCUAGACAGAAGCACACAGAGGAUGGGAGCCUAGAGAGGGGAAGCGGGAACAAUUGUAAAGGGCAGAGAUGCUGUGAGAGGUACAGACUAGCCAGUCCUCGAUUCUCGAGCACACACCUCUCCUUCCAAGGCAGCCCAAGCAGGAACCAUGAGGCAGCACAAGACUGGAAUCAAACCCUUUAGUAGUCAGUACUUCUAUCACCGCGCCAAACACACAUGAGAGAUUGCUUAACACGUAAGGAGUUGAUUAGGGCUCCCAGUUGCAGAGGUUUCACUUGGUGCUCAACUCUCUCUGUGUUCGGGCCUAUGGUAAGAAGGAUCACCAUGGCGAAAGGCCUGGUGAGAUAGAGGCACUUGCCUCAUGGAGGUCAAGAGACAGACCCAGGGAUAGACAGGUGUGAGAGACAUCCUUUACAGGUUCACCUCCACUGCCCCUUUAACAAGUAGACCGCACCUCCUAACAUUCCCAUCGUGUCUCAAAUCCUAACACCACCAUGCUACAUCGUACUCCAAGGAUAAGAGUGGAAGGUCCUAAGUCUGCAGUACUCAGCACACGGAAAGAUCUCAGAACAACUGCCUAAAAUACACAACAUGAACUAGAAAGAAAGCUUUAGUUUUACACACUUUCUGAGUUCAUCUUCUCACUGCAUGGAUGAUACAGAUGGUUGCAGAUCAAACACCUGUCUAGAGUCUGAAACAAUACUUUUUUGAAUGAAACUUAAUGUUUAUACAGUAUAUUCCAGUCAUAGCUUCUCCCUCAUGUCCUCCCAGAUCCUCCCUACCCCCUCCAAUUGUAUACCUUCUUUCUCACUCUCCCUCUCUUUAGAAAAGCAAGCAAAAAAGAAUAAAACAAAACAGAAAAAGUAUAAGAAAUACAUUAUAUGCAUACACACACAACCCUUAAAAACACAAAAUCUGAAACCAUAACAUAAAAGCAUAAUAACCAGUAAAGAAAAAAAAAAACCUAAAACCUUAGGAGACAAAAAGAAAAUCUCUAAAAAUAUCACUGAAUUAAUUUUGUGUUGGCCAUCUAUUGCUGGACAUGGGAUGGUUGGUAUACCAAGUGAGACUCCAUUGGGAAAAGUAAUUUUUCCUUUACAAGUGGUUGACACUUGGAGAUAGCCUCUGAGUGUUGCGGGAGGUCCUUCCGCUCCUCCAGCCUAUAGCCGCUGAGAUACCAGCCCAUUGGGGCGUGGUCUCUCUCCCUUUAAAAAAGCGGCUACUUCCCUUCUCGCUCU